This 253-nucleotide ribosomal RNA is filed under the name uncultured bacterium. Its description in RNAcentral is "partial 16S ribosomal RNA". It matches the Rfam family "Bacterial small subunit ribosomal RNA", at positions 524 to 776 of the family's 1533-position model. The record is from RNAcentral.
UACGAAGGGGGCUAGCGUUGCUCGGAAUCACUGGGCGUAAAGCGCACGUAGGCGGCUUUCUAAGUCAGGGGUGAAAUCCUGGAGCUCAACUCCAGAACUGCCUUUGAUACUGGAAAGCUUGAGUUCGGGAGAGGUGAGUGGAACCGCGAGUGUAGAGGUGAAAUUCGUAGAUAUUCGCAAGAACACCAGUGGCGAAGGCGGCUCACUGGCCCGAUACUGACGCUGAGGUGCGAAAGCGUGGGGAGCAAACAGG